Molecule: ribosomal RNA, 301 nt
Filed under: uncultured bacterium
Lineage: Bacteria
Description: partial 16S ribosomal RNA
Rfam family: Bacterial small subunit ribosomal RNA
Source: RNAcentral
CAGCAGCCGCGGUAAUACGUAGGUCCCGAGCGUUGUCCGGAUUUAUUGGGCGUAAAGCGAGCGCAGGCGGUUAGAUAAGUCUGAAGUUAAAGGCUGUGGCUUAACCAUAGUACGCUUUGGAAACUGUUUAACUUGAGUGCAGAAGGGGAGAGUGGAAUUCCAUGUGUAGCGGUGAAAUGCGUAGAUAUAUGGAGGAACACCGGUGGCGAAAGCGGCUCUCUGGUCUGUAACUGACGCUGAGGCUCGAAAGCGUGGGGAGCAAACAGGAUUAGAUACCCCUGUAGUCCCUGUCUCUUAUACA